RNAcentral lists this ribosomal RNA (330 nucleotides) under Strongylogaster secunda. RNAcentral's name for it is "partial 12S ribosomal RNA". The record is from RNAcentral. Lineage: Eukaryota; Metazoa; Arthropoda; Insecta; Hymenoptera; Tenthredinidae.
AAUAAUAGUUAUGAUCUUUAAACUUAAAAAAAUUGGCGGUAUUUAAAUCUAAUUAGGGGAAUUUGUUUAUAUUGAAUGAUAAUCCUCAAGAAACCUUACUUUAAAUUAUUUAACUUAUUUAUUGCCGUUAUCAGAUUAUUUUUUUAGAAUUAAAAUUUUCUAGAAUUUUUAUUAAAAAAAUUAUUUCAGGUCAUUAUGUAGUUUAUAUUAAAGUUUAAAUGAAUUACAAUAAAUUUUAUUUAUUAUAUGAAUAUUAAAUUGAAAUAUUUAAUUGAAGGUGGACUUAAUAGUAAAAUUAAAUAUUAAAUUAAUUUGAAUUAAGAGUUAAAU